This 278-nucleotide ribosomal RNA is filed under the name uncultured Erysipelotrichaceae bacterium. Its description in RNAcentral is "partial 16S ribosomal RNA". It matches the Rfam family "Bacterial small subunit ribosomal RNA", at positions 511 to 788 of the family's 1533-position model. Lineage: Bacteria; Bacillati; Bacillota; Erysipelotrichia; Erysipelotrichales; Erysipelotrichaceae. The record is from RNAcentral.
GCAGCCGCGGUAAUACGUAGGUGGCGAGCGUUGUCCGGAUUUACUGGGCGUAAAGGGAGCGUAGGCGGACUUUUAAGUGAGAUGUGAAAUACCCGAGCUCAACUUGGGUGCUGCAUUUCAAACUGGAAGUCUAGAGUGCAGGAGAGGAGAAUGGAAUUCCUAGUGUAGCGGUGAAAUGCGUAGAGAUUAGGAAGAACACCAGUGGCGAAGGCGAUUCUCUGGACUGUAACUGACGCUGAGGCUCGAAAGCGUGGGGAGCAAACAGGAUUAGAUACCCC